UGCCAGCCGCCGCGGUAAUACAGAGGUGGCAAGCGUUGUUCGGAUUUAUUGGGCGUAAAGGGUUCGUAGGCGGUCCGGAAAGUUGGAUGUGAAAUCCCGCAGCUUAACUGCGGAACUGCAUUCAAAACUUCCAGACUCGAGUGUGAGAGGGGUAAAGGGAAUUCCUGGUGUAAGGGUGAAAUCUGCAGAUAUCAGGAAGAACACCGGUCGCGAAGGCGCUUUACUGGCUCACAACUGACGCUGAGGGACGAAAGCUAGGGUAUCAAACGGGAUUAGAUA
This 279-nucleotide ribosomal RNA is filed under the name uncultured bacterium. RNAcentral's name for it is "partial 16S ribosomal RNA". It matches the Rfam family "Bacterial small subunit ribosomal RNA", at positions 506 to 784 of the family's 1533-position model. The record is from RNAcentral.